AUCCAGGGGUUUUUGCCAUACACACAGCACAGAUUUUUUUGAUUAUGUAGAUUUUUUUCUACUGCAGUUUCAUAUGCAAAGCAUGCAUCAGCCACAUCCAUGCUAUCUCCUAAAGCAGUCAUUCUGAAACCCAAUCUGGGGACAGUGCAGACUAAAUAAAAUUUCAUUUUGAUUUGGCCUCCCGCUGAGAAUGGGACUGCUUUGUUUCAGCCGACAGAACCAGCAAGCCAGAAAGGUGUUGAAUACACAAAUACUGACUUAACGGAAAAUUAUACAGAGCACUUUGAGUUCUCUACAACUUUCCCCAUGGGCCUUAGUCAAGGACAAGAAAUGCAAAACCUGCCAACACAUCUCUAUCACUCCCAAAAUAACCACACCCCACAACAGAACGAGCACCAUUACUGGAUCUUAUACCUACAUGCCAUAUAUCUCAUCUAGUGCACCAAAUGCCCUGAUAAAGAAUAUGUAGGAGAAACCAAACAAACUUUUCCAAACUUCCACUCAUUUGCAUCUUCACAGACUUCUUGUUCACUUUAGCAUCGUUUCUACCUGGAAGAACUCAAAACAUCAGCAGAGUCUCCCAUUGCCUGAAGAAGAAUGCUUGUGCCCAAAAGCAUGGAAAGAACUUUGUUCCAGCUACUCACUUGGUCUAAUAAAAUAUAUCAUAUUUACCCA
This 675-nucleotide long non-coding RNA is filed under the name Crocodylus porosus (Australian saltwater crocodile). Its description in RNAcentral is "lncRNA (ENSCPRG00005014438.1)". The record is from RNAcentral. Lineage: Eukaryota; Metazoa; Chordata; Crocodylia; Crocodylidae.